This 714-nucleotide ribosomal RNA is filed under the name Glutamicibacter sp. RNAcentral's name for it is "bacterial SSU rRNA". It matches the Rfam family "Bacterial small subunit ribosomal RNA", at positions 100 to 828 of the family's 1533-position model. The record is from RNAcentral. Lineage: Bacteria; Bacillati; Actinomycetota; Actinomycetes; Micrococcales; Micrococcaceae.
GAACGGGUGAGUAACACGUGAGUAACCUGCCCCCGACUUUGGGAUAAGCCCGGGAAACUGGGUCUAAUACCGGAUAUGACUUCCUGCCGCAUGGUGGGUUGUUGAAAGAUUUAUCGGUGGGGGAUGGACUCGCGGCCUAUCAGCUUGUUGGUGAGGUAAUGGCUCACCAAGGCGACGACGGGUAGCCGGCCUGAGAGGGUGACCGGCCACACUGGGACUGAGACACGGCCCAGACUCCUACGGGAGGCAGCAGUGGGGAAUAUUGCACAAUGGGCGGAAGCCUGAUGCAGCGACGCCGCGUGAGGGAUGACGGCCUUCGGGUUGUAAACCUCUUUCAGUAGGGAAGAAGCGAAAGUGACGGUACCUGCAGAAGAAGCGCCGGCUAACUACGUGCCAGCAGCCGCGGUAAUACGUAGGGCGCAAGCGUUAUCCGGAUUUAUUGGGCGUAAAGAGCUCGUAGGCGGUUUGUCGCGUCUGCCGUGAAAGUCCGAGGCUCAACCUCGGAUCUGCGGUGGGUACGGGCAGACUAGAGUGAUGUAGGGGAGACUGGAAUUCCUGGUGUAGCGGUGAAAUGCGCAGAUAUCAGGAGGAACACCGAUGGCGAAGGCAGGUCUCUGGGCAUUUACUGACGCUGAGGAGCGAAAGCAUGGGGAGCGAACAGGAUUAGAUACCCUGGUAGUCCAUGCCGUAAACGUUGGGCACUAGGUGUGGGGG